Molecule: transfer RNA, 72 nt
Filed under: Heterocephalus glaber (naked mole-rat)
Lineage: Eukaryota; Metazoa; Chordata; Mammalia; Rodentia; Bathyergidae
Rfam family: tRNA
About the family: Transfer RNA (tRNA) molecules are approximately 80 nucleotides in length. Their secondary structure includes four short double-helical elements and three loops (D, anti-codon, and T loops). Further hydrogen bonds mediate the characteristic L-shaped molecular structure. tRNAs have two regions of fundamental functional importance: the anti-codon, which is responsible for specific mRNA codon recognition, and the 3' end, to which the tRNAs corresponding amino acid is attached (by aminoacyl-tRNA synthetases). tRNAs cope with the degeneracy of the genetic code in two manners: having more than one tRNA (with a specific anti-codon) for a particular amino acid; and 'wobble' base-pairing, i.e. permitting non-standard base-pairing at the 3rd anti-codon position.
Source: Rfam by way of RNAcentral
AGGGAUGUAGCUCAGUGGUAGGGUGUAUGCUUAACAUGUGCAAGGCCCUGGGUUUGAUUCCCAGCACCCCUC